UGGGGAAUCUUGCGCAAUGGGCGAAAGCCUGACGCAGCGACGCCGCGUGGGGGACGAAGGCCUUCGGGUUGUAAACCCCUUUCGGCAGGGACGAAGCGAUCGUGACGGUACCUGCAGAAGAAGCUCCGGCUAACUACGUGCCAGCAGCCGCGGUAAGACGUAGGGAGCGAGCGUUGUCCGGAUUCAUUGGGCGUAAAGAGCGCGCAGGCGGUUUGGUAAGUCGGAUGUGAAAUCCCGGAGCUCAACUCCGGACCUGCAUCCGAUACUGCCCGACUAGAGGUAGGUAGGGGAGAUCGGAAUUCCUGGUGUAGCGGUGAAAUGCGCAGAUAUCAGGAGGAACACCGGUGGCGAAGGCGGAUCUCUGGGCCUUACCUGACGCUCAGGCGCGAAAGCUAGGGGAGCGAACAGG
RNAcentral lists this ribosomal RNA (409 nucleotides) under uncultured bacterium. Its description in RNAcentral is "bacterial SSU rRNA". It matches the Rfam family "Bacterial small subunit ribosomal RNA", at positions 355 to 776 of the family's 1533-position model. The record is from RNAcentral.